RNAcentral lists this ribosomal RNA (253 nucleotides) under uncultured bacterium. Its description in RNAcentral is "partial 16S ribosomal RNA". It matches the Rfam family "Bacterial small subunit ribosomal RNA", at positions 524 to 776 of the family's 1533-position model. The record is from RNAcentral.
UACGAAGGGUGCUAGCGUUGUUCGGAAUCACUGGGCGUAAAGCGCGCGUAGGCGGCUUUCGAAGUCAGGGGUGAAAUCCUGAGGCUUAACCUCAGAAUUGCCUUUGAAACUGGAAAGCUAGAGUGUCGGAGGGGAUGGCGGAAUUCCUAAUGUAGAGGUGAAAUUCGUAGAUAUUAGGAGGAACACCGGUGGCGAAGGCGGCCAUCUGGACGACAACUGACGCUGAGGCGCGAAAGCGUGGGGAUCAAACAGG